Long non-coding RNA from Chiroxiphia lanceolata (lance-tailed manakin), 2220 nucleotides. RefSeq lists it as uncharacterized. The transcript has 4 exons. NCBI's taxonomy places the organism in Eukaryota, Metazoa, Chordata, Aves, Passeriformes, Pipridae. The record is from RefSeq and is a predicted model, not a curated record.
GGUGCUGGCCCCGCAGCUCGGUGUGUGGGCUGUGCCAGCCCAUGGUGCUGUGCCAGGAGCCGGUGCUGUCCCCAGGUGAUAGUGCUGUGCCAGGGAAUGGCCUCGGCCCUCCUCAGAGCAGCGUGCUGGGUGCUGGCCAGGUGCCACCGCCCCUGAACGCCGCGCGGCCCUACCGCGGUCUCUGCCUCAGGAAUCUCAGAUGGAGGAAUCGAGCAGAAUAGAUGGGGAAUUUGCUUUCAGAAUUGAAGUUCAGCAGGACUUGGUUCUCUCCAUGAGUGACAGAAUCCUUCACAGUGAGUUCCCAGCAUAUUGAAAACUUUCAAAGGAUGAAAUGGAUUGGUUUGGCAGAUCUGGAGAGCCUGAAUUAAUCCCCUGGCUAGAGCAUUUGAGCACUGCUGAUGUGGAACAGCACAGCCAGCAACGUAAAGCCCCAAAUUAUUUCAAGGUAAACUCCUGGAACUGUUUGAUGGUCAUCCUGUGAUCCACGUAAUGUUCUACUAGUUCAGGAGGGCAGAGAAGAAUGAUGUGUCCAAGCAAGAACUUGGACUGCUCUGAAGGCACAAAGCUCUUCAUCUCAUGUGCAACCUCGUGUGGGACAUCCCAGCUCUAAGAGCUUCCUUCUAAUAAAUCCCCUUGAUGCAGUUGGUUUUCUGGGAAGGGAAGAAGCAGGGAGGAAAAGCUGAGUGGAUUUUUAAGUGAAGCCACUACCAAUUGCUAUCCAUUAGACCUACAAACUCUUCAGCUUUCUAGACAUUUCUUCCGACCUCUGUCAUGGAGAACUUCACUGUGAAGACGCAAAAUGCAGAGGGAUUGACAACCAAAGCCCCGCAUGUACUUUUUCCCACACGUCCAACCUGUAGAUGAAGAUUUUACACCACGAGUAGUUGAGAAGGUCAUAUUCCAAACACCUCACAUGACAAGGAAUGAACAGCCACACUUCUUCCACUUACCUGUUCUGGUGGAGACAAGUCUUCCAUAUUGUACAACGAUAAGCAAAAGUAGCUCAAAUGGAGUAACAAAGAAAGGAAGUGAUUCAGAGGCUUUGAACCACAGGACCAACAAUUCACAUCCAUCCACGCAAACGCCGGCAAAGUGACUGGGCCUAACACUGGCUGCAAACUGGGCUGUGUGUUCCCUCACAGAACACCUACACACCAGGUUACUCCUCGAGCAACCUGUCUGGGAUGCCACACAGUGGUACUCAGCGCACAGCCCACGACCAACGGCCAAACGUCACCGUCUUGUGACGCAAAGAUCAGAAACAGCCGAAUUUUUUAACGACGAGUCAGAGCUAAACAAGCAUGGCCACCAUUAGUCUGAGACAUACCAGCUUUAUUUCCUUCUAGAACUAAUCCAAACGUCUGAAGAAAACUCGGACAACACCAGGUAAAGAUCCUCCAUGCAUCCCAGAAACUACUCAUCCUAAAGUUGUGUUGCUAGCUUUUUUGUGUCAAAGUUGUUCUUCACAGAACUCCCACUGGCUAUUCCUGAGUUGCAACAGCAACACAGGUGACAUGCAACAUCCUUAAAAUUACAAAGUUAAAUGGCAGAUACCACAAAAUGGAGAGAAAAACACCAAUGGUACUAUUCAGAUCAUCAUGUACUUCCAAUAAUUUAACACCUUGGAGGAGAGCUGAAGUGCUGUUCACUUCAGAGGAGGUCUGUCACACACAGCAAAAUACAGUCCUAGUAGAGCAAUGUCAUCCCUUAACUGUGACCUCUGUCAAAGACUUUGAAAGACAAUGAAAGUAAAAACUGCCUACGUGAAACCUCUCAGAUCCUCCAUGUCUUGCUCCUGAGACCCUACAGCUGAUCAUCAAGAUCAUCAAACACAGAGUUAGUCCAACCAAGUCCAACCAACCACAGCAGCAGCUCCACACCCAAGCACACCCUGAUGGUUGAGCAGUGCCUAUCACCGGCACACAGUUCCAACUGGAAGGUGAUGGUUUCAGUCCUAGCCCUUAAACUGUGCUCUCCAGAGAACCACAACAGAAAUGGCCAUUUCACCAGGAAACACCAGGAGCCUGAGGAGGUGCUCCAGACCAAGAAGUGUAGGACAUCCAGUCACGUUUGGUGUCUUCAGAUGACAGACUUCCACCCUCGUUCCACUUACUGGAACAGGAUAUUUCAAACCACCAGGUCCAGUCUGCCUUAUUUCUAAUUUCAGCUUUCUCCCUUCUUCUUCUUCUUCUCCGGCAUGGCAAGAGCGGCUAGACCCGU